UACAGAGGGUGCAAGCGUUGUUCGGAAUUAUUGGGCGUAAAGCGCGUGUAGGCGGCCGUGCAAGUCGGGUGUGAAAUCCCCCGGGCUCAACCCGGGAACUGCGUCCGAUACUGGCAGGCUUGAAUCCGGGAGAGGGAUGCGGAAUUCCAGGUGUAGCGGUGAAAUGCGUAGAUAUCUGGAGGAACACCGGUGGCGAAGGCGGCAUCCUGGACCGGUAUUGACGCUGAGGCGCGAAAGCCAGGGGAGCAAACGGGG
RNAcentral lists this ribosomal RNA (255 nucleotides) under uncultured bacterium. RNAcentral describes it as "partial 16S ribosomal RNA". It matches the Rfam family "Bacterial small subunit ribosomal RNA", at positions 524 to 777 of the family's 1533-position model. The record is from RNAcentral.